CUCCAGUGGGCAUCUCUCAGGCAGACCAUCAUGGAGACGGCUGGAGUGCUUAUCCACCUGACACACAAGAGCACACCUUUUCUGUCCCGAGACCCUCAGGUGACUACCAAGGAAGAACACUGAGUACUUCUGGUGGGAGACAGGAAAAUCCAGUCUUGAGUACAGUACCAAAUCAAUGUACACGUACGUUAUUUAUUAAUUUAAAUAAGUUGCAAAAUGCAUCAUUUCAUUCAU
This is a long non-coding RNA of Sinocyclocheilus anshuiensis, 234 nucleotides long. RefSeq lists it as uncharacterized. NCBI's taxonomy places the organism in Eukaryota, Metazoa, Chordata, Actinopteri, Cypriniformes, Cyprinidae. The record is from RefSeq and is a predicted model, not a curated record. The transcript is spliced from 3 exons.